RNAcentral lists this ribosomal RNA (321 nucleotides) under uncultured eukaryote. RNAcentral's name for it is "partial 18S ribosomal RNA". It matches the Rfam family "Eukaryotic small subunit ribosomal RNA", at positions 1470 to 1796 of the family's 1831-position model. The record is from RNAcentral.
CCCCUAGACGUUCUGGGCCGCACGCGCGCUACACUGACCGGUGCAACAAGCAUCCGUCCUUGGCCGGCAGGCCCGGGCAAUCUUUGAACGCCGGUCGUGAUGGGGAUAGACUUUUGCAAUUUUUGGUCUUCAACGAGGAAUUCCUAGUAAACGCAAGUCAUCAGCUUGCAUUGAUUACGUCCCUGCCCUUUGUACACACCGCCCGUCGCACCUACCGAUUGAAUGGUCCGGUGAAAUCUCGGGACGGCGGCUUGGUCGCUUGCGUCCGACUGCUGAAACUUGAUUAAACCAUAUCAUUUAGAGGAAGGUGAAGUCGUAACA